AAACCCCGCGUGAGAAUGGGCCACAGUUAAUUUCGCCGGCCUGUUUGGAGCCUGUUUCCGCGGGUCGGCGUCUCCCUCGAAUCGGCAAAACACCAGGGGAACGCUCCCCCGAGUCGCGACCCCGGGCAAGUUUCCCCACGGGCGGGGCGACGAAAUCACCGCUCUGCUCCGACGUCCAGCUCUACUCGCGAGCAGGACAUCACCGCGCGUCCACCAUCUCUGGCUUGCUGUCCUCCGCGCGUCAUCUCCAUCCCUGGCUUGAGGUAUUCAACUAUGUUCUCCCUCUUCUCGUACCAUACAUACUAGCUAGGGUUUUGAAUAAUUCUGAUCGGCGAUCUGGUGGCGGCGUCCGGUCCGCUGUUUGCUGCUGGUGUGGUGGUACGUUGGCGUCGUGCGUGUGUCUCACUGAGCUCGUCCGUUCGGACGACCGGCCGAUUCGUCAUGUCUGCAUCUGCGUCCUUGUCUGCAUCUGCGUCCUUGUCUGCGUUCGGCCGGCCGGCCGGUUCGGACGAUGACGACGGAGGUGGCCAUGUCUGCAUCUGUGUCCUUAUCGUUGGGCGAGUGGUCAGAGUCAGAGAUUCCCUGAGCCGAGAUUAGCUUGUUUUAUCCGUUGAAAACUACUUAUCCAUGGUUUUAUCGCAUUGUUCUGCGCUGUUUUAGUUUUCAAUGAUAAGCUGGCAACUACUUAUCAUUUUUAGAUUAGCUUGCUCAACUAAACUCAGUACAAGACUGACUCUCUUCCAAGAUCCGAGCCUUGGACUCUCCAAGAUCCAAACUAUUUUAGUUUUCAGACUGUUUUAGUUUUCAGACUGUAUACACGGAAAAAGGUUAGCUGUUAAAUCUAAAACCUUUACUAAACUUUACUAAACUAUCAUAUGUUUUAGUUUUCAUAUUGUUCAAAUAUAACAGCUAACCUUUACUAAACUUCAGCCGACAGUUAUUUGUAUUUUCCAUUUGACAAUUUUCCAUUUGAUCAGCCAGAAGUUCUGUUCGAUAAGUCAGGACGCCGCAUACACCUACAACAUUUUCUGUUCUAAAAUGAAGUGGCCAAUAACAUAAUUUAUAAACUAAACUCAGUACAAGACUGACUCUCUUCCAAGAUCCGAGCCUUGGACUCUCCAAGAUCCAAACUAUUUUAGUUUUCAGACUGUUUUAGUUUUCAGACUGUAUACACAGAAAAAGGUUAGCUGUUAAAUCUAAAACCUUUACUAAACUUUACUAAACUAUCAUAUGUUUUAGUUUUCAGAUUGUUCAAAUAUAACAGCUAACCUUUACUAAACUUCAGCCGGCAGACUGUGCACAAAUAGAAAGUGAACAAGGGUCGGCAGACUGUGCUCUAUAAUCCUGAGAAGGGAAGAUUUGUUCAAAUAGAAAGUGAACAAUUGUUUAAUAUAGAUCCCGACAACUUUAUCCACAAAUUGCAUUGCUAAAUCUAAAACUGUAACCUUUACUAAACUGUAACCUUUGCUGAACUAAACUGUAACCUUUGCUGAAUUUAUAAUCUUGAGUAGCCUUGGACAUAUGACAUAUAAAUUCAACCAGUACAAGGGUCGUUAAUACGCUUCAGCCGGGAAGGCGUUUGUUAUUAUCUUUGCGAUUGUUAUUAUCUUUACGAUAUUUUCCAUUGCUUAUCAUGCCUUUUGCUAUGAUUAUGUGUUGCUUAUAUAGUUUCUCAAUUUCUCUAGAUAUGGGUUCUUGGGAAGAGCUAGCUAGGCAGUUUUUGUUGGAGGAAGAAGAAGACGAUGAGGAGUUUUUCUUUAUUCUUCUCCCUGCUAUACUUCCAUUCCUCUCUGAAGAGAAAAGGUCUAUCCAUACCUCCUCUCUCUCUGGUGCCCAAAAGGUUAAGGAGAUUCUUGAAGGGCAUGAGAGUUGGUGCAAGUCCGAGUUUCGAAUGGAGCCAGAAAUAUUUAGAGCCACAUCAGAAUUCCUUAGAAGAGAGGGUUUGUUACGUGAUACACGAGGAGUUAACGUCGAAGAGCAGCUUGGGAUGUUUAUGUAUAUGAUCUCCCACAAUGCCAGUAACCAAAUGCUUCAAAAGGCUUUCCAACAUAGUGGAGAGACUAUCCAUCGAAAAAUAUCAGAAGUUUUCGAUAUAGUUCCCACUCUAACUCAGCGAUUCGUGAAGCUUCCCAAUUCUAUCCAGACACAUCCAAAAAUUAUAACUGAUUCUAGGUUCAUGCCCUUUUUUUAGGUGACCUAUCAAUAGUAAACAUGAUUUCCUUAACUUUUUCCCUUUAACAUGCCCUAAAUUUCCUCUCCUUUUAUACAGAAUUGCAUUGGAGCAAUUGACGGAACCCAUGUACCUAUCACCAUUGCAGAAGAUAAGGCUCCUCCUUACCGAAAUAGGAAAGGGUCACUUUCACAAAACGUGAUGUUGGCAUGUGAGGUGAAUGUGGCGAUGAAGAGAUGGGCUUACAGGUAUUCACUGUAUUACAAACUGGUUAUUUUUGUCUUGUUUUUUUAAUAAAAUAAAAUAAAAUAUGGUCUGAAGUCUGAACUUGCUGAUUGGAGUAUGCAAUUGGAGUCUGAACUUGCUGGUUAUAAGAGAUGGGCUUACAGUGCUUCUAGGCGUCUAGCUAAGGAAGCUUAAUGCUUGGCUGUUACAUAAUUGAAGUAUGAAGUACUCCAAUCUGUUUAAUAACUGAAAUUUCAAUCCAGUUUACAUGCUUGGCUGUUACAUAAUUGAAGUAUGCUUGACUUUGUUAUCAUGCUGAAUCUUCCACUGUGACUUGUGAUUGAGGCUUAAGCUUAACUCCAUAUAAGUAUAACUCACUAGAUGCUUAAGUUAGUAGAGAGCCAGUGCAUUAUUAACAACUUAUCUGACCUUUGGUUUAACAUAUACCAAGAAUUUGCAAUCGUGUAUAUAUAUAAUAUGCUUUUGUAUUUCACAUUUACUUCACACCUAGUCUUUCUAAGAUAAUGUUCAUUGUGUAUAUACUAAAUUGAUUCAUUUCAUCUACUAACUCCUACUGCUAUAUAUUGUUUAAUCACACUUCUAUGCUAUGCUACUAGCAUUGAACUAUAUAAUUGUGUAACCAUAUAAACUAAAAUGUGUGUCAAUUGGUGUUACUUGCAGUGUGUUAAGUGGAAGCAACACAUGAAGCGGACAUGGAGAAGGAAGCUGGCAUGACACUAAAACGCAUAAAGUUGACUUGUGACGUUCAUGUUUUAGAUGUCUUAUUCUACUGCCAAACUUCCUAGUACUCCAUUUUUAUACUAUAUUGUCUAUCUGUACGUGUGAAUGGAGAUGAUGAUAUUAUGUGAUGUGAUGAUGGAUGGAUUAGCUUCGUUGAAUAUUAGAUGAUAUUAUGUGAUGAUGAUAUUAAACGGGCAUUGUAGUAUUGAUACAUGCUUCAUAUUUCUGGAUUUUUAGUGAUGUUUUAUUGUUUAUGAGUUUUCUAAAUAUUCCUUAUUUUUGUUUGAUUUUUUCUAAAUUUUUGAUGUAUUUUUUUGCUCAAGAGGGG
This 3464-nucleotide long non-coding RNA is filed under the name Zea mays. RNAcentral describes it as "long non-coding RNA (ZMAY_LNC005012)". Lineage: Eukaryota; Viridiplantae; Streptophyta; Magnoliopsida; Poales; Poaceae. The record is from RNAcentral.